UCCGGCAGAGAGCGCGGAGAGACACAGAACGCAGCCCGCUCCUCCGGGGCCCUCCAGGCCCUCCAGGCCCUCCGGCCCCGGGCCGGCGGGUGAACUGGGGGGCCCCGGGACAGGCUGAGCCCUCUGCCCUGCAGAUACCAGAGGCCUCUGCUGUGGCUGCCCACUGGCUGUGCCCAGGUCUUGAAGCCGCAGCGAACCUCUCUUUCCCACCCCACCUCGGUUACUGAUGGCGGCAGCUGCGUGUCCCCGCCCGGACCCAGCCGGCGGCCGGGUCUCCCGACCCAAGCCUGCCGGACCUCGACGAAACCGCCGCAGAGCCGCCGGGACGCAGCGCCUUUGGGCGGCGCCGGGCGUGGUGGGCCGGGAAGUAUGGCGGCCGCUCGAACGCCGCGCGGCGGAGGCCAUUAAGGCGUAGAGGGCCGGGGAAGGCGGCCUAGGGACGCAAGCAGGCUCGGCCGCCUCUUUAGGCCACGGAGCCGCGCAGAUCCGGUUCCCGGGUGACCACUCUGUCGCCAUUGGGCGAGACCUACCUAGUCCUGACGACAACGGACAAAGGCCUUAAGGGGCCUGGAAGGUGAACGAAGUCCCGAACGACGACGGGUGGAACAGUUAGCAGCCAUCAGGCGGUUGGUCUUCCUUCUCCCAGACUUUGCUGUCGGAAGAGAAAAAUGGUAGAAUGACAGGCCACGUUUGGCCCGUUGGAAAUGCCCACCACCUUCUGGGAAGAUUGACUGGCCGUUUAUGGAAGGCCUGUGUAUAUAAUAUGAAAAAGCUGCUCUCAACUCCACCCCAACCUUUUAAUAGAAAACAUUUGUCACAUCUAGCCCAUCUAGAUGGAAAGAGGUUGCCGACGUAUGAUUAAUAGAGUAGAAAGUCACACAUCUUGCAAAUUCUCAUUUCUUUAAAAGAAAUCAUAGAAAAUACAUGUCUUCUGGAGAUGACUUUUGGAAAUGGAGUUGUUAAGACGGCCUCUGGAAGCGAUAUGUCCACGUUUGUUAAGUGGGUUAGAUGACAUGGAGCUGGAAGACCUGAGAAGGAAAAGAAGGUUCUAUGCUAGACUGGUCAUAUUUAGAAGACAUUUUCAUGUUCUAUCCAUUGUUUUGUGUGCAUUUUAUUCCUCACUACUGUGUAUAUAGUUGACAAUGCUAAGCUUUUUUGAAAUGUCUAUUCUUUUUAGAUGUUCUGAAAUGCCUGAUAUGUUAAAAUUAGAGGUAGCAAAAUCACAUUUUGUAAAUACCUUUUUGUUACAAUUCAUAGGAAAUGUUUUUUGGGGGGAAUGGCCAAAUCACCUGUUGAGUAAUACUCAUUGUGUUUGUGCAGUGGUUCAGGGCAGGAGAGAGGAGGGGGAGGUGCAGAGAGCUCUAUGCCAUCCUGUUUACAGCGAGGCAAGAUGAAUCAUUAUCUCUGUGCAUUUUGUUUUACUUAUCUGUGUAUAUAGUGUACAUAAAGGACAGGCGAGUCCUAAUUGACAACAUCUAGUCUUUCUGGAUGUUAAAGAGGUUGCCAGUGUAUGACGAAAGUAGUAAACUAAUAUAUUUUGUACAUUUUGUUUUACAAGUCCUAGGAAAGAUUGUCUUCUGAAAAUUUGAUGUCUUCUGGGUUAAUGGAGAUGGGAAGGGUUCUAGGCCAGAAUGUUCACAUUUGGAAGACUCUUUCAAAUUAUAACUGUUGUUACAUGUUUGCAGUUUAUUCAAGACUGCUGUAUACAUAGUAGACAAAUUAACUCCUUACUUGAAAUAUCUAGUCUAUCUAGAUGUUUAGAAGUGCCCAAUGUAUGUUAAAUGUAGAGAUAGUAAAAUACCACUUUGUAAAUAUCUUUUUGCUAAAAUUCAUAGGAAAUACUUUUGGAAAUUGAAUUGUGAAGCCACCUUUGUGAGCAGUAUAGUAAUGUCUAUACUUGUUCAAUGGUUUAGAGGAAGUGGGAGGGAAGAAAUUGCAAAAGGUAAUAUACUAGUGUGUUCAUACUUGGACAUUUUCAGACACCAUUUUUCUAUAUGUUUUGUGCAUUUUGUUUUGUUCCGUAUAUAGUGCAUAUAAUGGACAAAUAGUCCUAAUUUUUCAACAUCUAGUCUGUAGAUGUUAAAGAGGUUGCCAGUGUAUGACAAAGUAGUAAAGUUAGCAUAUUUUGUACUCUGUGUUGAAAUUCAUAGGAAAACUUGUCUUCUGUAAAUGACUUUUCAUAGGAAUUUGUUCAACCAUCUCUAAGCAUUACACGUGCCUGUACUUGUCCACUGGAUUGAAGGCAGAGAAGGAAGGGAGGAGGGAAUGAUUCAAGGCCAAAAUGGCCACAUUUAGAAGAUACCUCAGAUGAUAACCAUUGUUAUGUGUGUGCAAUUUUAUUUAACAGUGCUGUGUAUGUGGUGGACAAGUUAUAUGAAAUAUCUAGUCUUUUAAGAUAUUUGGAAGUGCUUGAUGUAUUUAAAAGUGGUAGUAGAAGAACGCUUUGUAAAUAGCUUUUAAAAACUGAUGGAAAUGCUGUUUGGAAGUGGAAUUGUUGAACCACCUGGGAGGUGGGAGGGAAGAAAUUGCAAACGGUGUUUUGACAUUUUUUAUUAGAAAAUUUCAGCUUAAUCCAUUGCCUAUAUGUUACAUGCAUUUCAUUUAACUUUGCUAUACUGUAUAUAUUGUGUAUAUAAUGGACAAAUGAGUCCCGAUUUUAUAAUAUCUAGUCUCUAGAUAUUAAAGAGGUUGCCAAUGUAUGAGAGAAAUGGAGUUAGUAAACUAACACAUUUUGUACACUUUGUUAAAAUUUGUAGAAAGGCUGUCUUCUGAAAAGGACUUUUGGAAGUGAGAUAACAUCAGCUCCAAGUGACACGUGCCUAUAUCCGCCAGGUUGGUGGUGGAGAGGAGUUGGAAGGAAUGAAGGGUUCUAGACCAGAAUGUUCCUAUUUAGAAGACACUUUCAGAUAUAGCCAUUGUUACAUGUGUGUAGUUUAUUCAACACUACUGUGUAUGUAGCGGACAAACUUAAGUCCUUAUUUGAAACAUCUAGUCUUUCUAGAUGUUUAGAAGUGCACAAAGUAUGUUAAAAGUAGAGGUAGUAAAUAACACAUUUUGUAGCUAUCCUUUUGAUAUGGAAUAUUGUCUUGGAAAUUGAUCAAUUCUCUGAGCAGUACACAUUUUGAUAUUUGUGCUGGUUCAGGGGGAAGGAGGAGCACAAAGUGCAAAGGGCAUUCUACCAGUGUCCAGUGUGUUUAUGAGGAGGCACAUUGACCAUUGUCCCUUAUGUCUGCAUUUUCAUUUACUGUGCUGUGUAUAUAGUGUAUAUAAGCGGACUUAGGAGUCCUAAUUUACAUCUAGUCGAUGUUAAAAAGGUUGCCAGUAUAUGACAAAAGUAGAAUUAGUAAACUACUACAUUGAGUACACUUUGUGUUAAAAUUCAUAGGGAAGACUUCUUAAAAACAGAAAUGAAAUUGUUAAAAUCCCCCCUAAGCAUUACAUAUGGCUUAUAGCUGUCCACGGGGUUGGUAGAGGUGGGAAAGGGAAGGGUUCUAGGCCAGAAUGUUCCUAUUUAGAAGACACUCAAAUUACAGUCUGUGUUAUGUAUGUAUACCAUUUAUUCAAUGCUACUGUGUAUGUAAUGGAAAACUUAAGUCCAGUUUGAAACAUCUAGUCUUUCUAGGUGUUUAAAAGUGUACAACGGCCUGUCGCAGUGGCUCGUACCUGUAAUCCCAGCACUUUGGGAGGCCAAGGCAGGCGGAUCACGAGGUCAAGAGAUGGAGACCAUCUUGGCCAACAUGGUGAAACCCCAUCUGUAUUAAAAAUACAAAAAUUAUCUGGUCGUGGUGGUGUCCACCUGUAGCCGCAGUUACUCGGGAGGCUGAGGCAGGAGAAUCGCUUGAACUUGGGAGGUGGAGGUUGCAGUGAGCCGAGAUCGCACCACUGCACUCCAGCCUGGCAACAGAGCGAGACUCCGUUUCAAAAACAAAAGUGCACAACGUAGGUUAAAAGUAGAGGGCUUAAGUAACACCCCUCUAAGCAUUUGCUUUCAGUACUUCCUAGGAGUGGUUGCAUUUGGGAAUGGAAUUGUUAAAACGUGAUGCUUAGGAGUGAGUGCAGACUAUUCACGGGGUGGUUGGGGCGGGGGAAGCGGGGUAGGCAGAGGACGUAUGCAGGGAGAAGGGUUCUGUGCUCCUGAGAUUAGUUCAGAUGGUCUAACCAUUGUUCUAUAUGUGCAUUUUAGUUAAUAUUGUGUAUUAAAGGAUAAGUCUUAAUGCUCAAAGUAUGUUAAAAAUAGAUGUAGUAAAUCAGUCCCUUUGUGAAUGUCCUUUUGUUAGUUUUUAGGAAGGCCUGUCUUCUGGGAGUGACCUUUAUUAGUCCACUUCUUGGAGCUACACAUCCUAUACUUAGUCACUGGGAUGGUGGAAGAGGGAGAAGAGGAAGGGUGAAGGGAAGGGCUCUUUGCUAGUAUCUCCAUAUCUAGACGAUGGUUUUAGAUGAUAAUCACAGGUAUAUAUGAGUGUUUUUAAUAAAGUGCCUGUGUUCAUUGUGGACAGUUAUUAUUUUGCAACAUCUAAGCUUUACAAAUGGGGUGACAACUUAUGAUAAAAACUAGAGCUGGUGAAUUAGCCUAUUUGUAAAUACCUGUGUUAUAAUUGAUAGAAAAGAUGCAUCUUGGACAUGGAAUUGUUAAGCCACCUCUGAGCAGUGUAUGUCAGGACUUGUUCAUUAGGUUGGCAGCAGAGGGGCAGAAGGAAUUAUACAGGUAGAGAUGUAUGCAGAUGUGUCCAUAUAUGUCCAUAUUUACAUUUUGAUAGCCAUUGAUGUAUGCAUCUCUUUUGGCUUUACUAUAAGAACACAUUAAGUAAUUCAAUGGAAAUAUACUUUGCUAAUAUUUUAAUGGUAUAUAUCUGCUGUUGAAUUCUCUUAAAAAUAUACUUAGUGUAUUCUGUUGCUGUGUUUUCAUUUUAAAUUGAACAUUAAGGGAAUGCAGCAUUUAAAUCGGAACUCUGCCAAUGCUUUUAUCUAGAGGUGUGUUGCCAUUUUUGUCUUCUAUGAAAUUUUUGUCCCAAGAAAGGCAGGAUUAUUUUUUUUUUUUUUAGCAGUUUGAGUUGGUGUAGUGUAUUCUUAGUUAUCAAAAUACUCAUAUAGCUUUGGGAUUUUGAAUUGGUGAAUAUUCAUGAUGUGUGAAAAAUCAUGAUACAUACUGUACAAUCUCAGUCCCAUAAAAUUGGAUGUUGUGCCUACUCACAGGAUCUAGAAGAAUAUGUCAAACUAUAAACUGCUUGUGAUUGUGAAUGACUUUGUUCUUUGCUUCUUGUGUUUUUCGGUUUCCUGUAAUGCACAUAUUAACUUUUAAAAAAUAAAGGUUAUUUUAAAAGCCUGAAAAAAAAAAUCUGACUUCAGUGUUGAACUAAAAAAGUGAAAUAAUUUCCAUCCCAGACAUGUGAUAUGUCCCAAAAGCAAUUUUUAUAUCUUGUAAAAAAUACACAAGCAGCUAAAUAACAUAAAUAAUAGGCCCUCAGAGGUCAAACAUUUUGACUAAAAA
This 5488-nucleotide non-coding RNA is filed under the name Pongo abelii (Sumatran orangutan). Lineage: Eukaryota; Metazoa; Chordata; Mammalia; Primates; Hominidae. The record is from RNAcentral.